GAGUUUGAUCUUGGCUCAGAACGAACGCUGGCGGCGUGGAUAAGACAUGCAAGUCGAACGGGAGAAUUGCUAGCUUGCUAAUAAUUCUCUAGUGGCGCACGGGUGAGUAACACGUGAGUAACCUGCCCCCGAGAGCGGGAUAGCCCUGGGAAACUGGGAUUAAUACCGCAUAGUAUCGAAAGAUUAAAGCAGCAAUGCGCUUGGGGAUGGGCUCGCGGCCUAUUAGUUAGUUGGUGAGGUAACGGCUCACCAAGGCGAUGACGGGUAGCCGGUCUGAGAGGAUGUCCGGCCACACUGGAACUGAGACACGGUCCAGACACCUACGGGUGGCAGCAGUCGAGAAUCAUUCACAAUGGGGGAAACCCUGAUGGUGCGACGCCGCGUGGGGGAAUGAAGGUCUUCGGAUUGUAAACCCCUGUCAUGUGGGAGCAAAUUAAAAAGAUAGUACCACAAGAGGAAGAGACGGCUAACUCUGUGCCAGCCGCCGCCGU
This 491-nucleotide ribosomal RNA is filed under the name uncultured microorganism. RNAcentral describes it as "bacterial SSU rRNA". It matches the Rfam family "Bacterial small subunit ribosomal RNA", at positions 9 to 521 of the family's 1533-position model. The record is from RNAcentral.